AAAGUGCAACUAAUCCCCGGGUGGUUUUGGUAAUUAAUAACAACAUAUAUAUCAAUGAACUAAUAGUUUCUUGAGAAUCAUUUCAGAAAGUUCAGUGAUAUGGGUAUGGCAAGGACUGAAGAAGUGGACCCCUCAAAAUGCUAAGGCAAGCAUUGGCAAAAGCUCAAGACUCCAUUUUUGGUUUAGUGAUCCAAGAUCACAUUGAGUCUAUAGGAAAGCCAAUACUAUUAAAAGGGGAUGAGGUUAUGAUAAUGAUCUGGUUGCUCAAAGUGCUUAGUGAUAUAUCUCCUAAACUAUCAGCAACUCUCACUUCCAUAAUACACUCAUAAGUAAUCUCGGUCCCACCGAUUUUCCAAACCCAGUCACACCGAGAUGAACCACCUCAGCCAUAUAGCCAAACCCUAGAAUUCUCGGAUUUUCCGAUUCUGAACUCGGUCUCACCGAAACUUGAGUUGCCAAGCUUCUGUAACCUUCUGUCAUCAAAUCGGUGUCACCGAGAUGAUGAAGUCGGUCCCACCGAGAUUGGCAAGCUCUUGUCUUUGGACGAAUCGGACUCACCGAGUUUGUAUUUUCGGUCCCACCGAAAAUCCCAACGUUCACAUGAUUUGAACUUUCGGUCUCACCGAGUUGUCAACUUCGGUCUGACCGAGAUUGGUCAAAUGUGUGUAACGGUUGGAUUUUGUGUGGAGGCUAUAAAUACCCCUCCACCCCCUCUUCAUUCGUGGAGAGAGCCAUCAGAAAGAACUACCACUCCUACCUUACAUUUCUGAGAAGAGAACUACCUACCCUUGUGUUGAGAUCAAGUAGCUCCACUCCCACCAUAUGAAACUUGAUCUCUAGCCUUCCCAAGUUGCUUUCCACUCAAUCCUUUCUUCCACCACAGCCAAAUCAGUGAGGAGAGUUGAGUGUUGGGGAGAUUAUCAUUUGAAGCACAAGAGCAAGGAGUUCAUCAUCAUCAACACCAUCUAUUACCUUUUGGAGGGUGGUGCCUCCUAGAUUGGUUAGGUGUCGCUUGGGAGCCUCCGUCGAGAUGUGGAGUUGAACCAAGAAGUUUGUAAGGGCAAGGAGAUCGCCUACUUCAUGAAGAUCUACCCCGAGUAAGGCUAGCCCUCCGUGGGCGUAGGCCAUGAUGGCAUAGACAAGGUUGCUUCUUCGUGGACCCUUCGUGGGUGGAGCCCUCCGUGGACUCUCGCAGCCGUUACCCUCCGUGGGUUGAAGUCUCCAUCAACGUGGAUUGACGAUAGCACCACCUAUCGGAACCACGAGAAAAAAUCUCCGUGUCUCCAAAUUGCGUUUGCUCUUCUCCACCUCUCUUUACUACAUGUGCAAUUUACUUUCCGCUGCCUAUACUCUAGAAUUGCAUGUGUAGGGUGAUACUUGACUUGAUCAUCAUUGUGAACUUGCCAAAAACUUGUCUUUAUCAAAAGGCUGAAUUUUUAUAUUGUCAAGUAGUCUAAUCACCCCCCCCUCUAGACAUACUUUCGAUCCUACAAGUGGUAUCAGAGCUUUGGUCUCCAUUGUAUUGGUUUCCAUUGCAUUGGACUCCAUAAGCUUGGUUUCACAACCUAGGAGAGUAUGGCGUCUAGUGAGGGUAAUUUUCGUAGAGGUCCUUACUUUGAUGGUACAAAUUUUGCUAGUUGGAAGCAUAAAAUGAAAAUGCAUAUUCUUGGUCAUAACCCAGCCGCAUGGGGCAUUAUUUAUGUUGGUUUGCAAGGUGAGUUCUUCGAGGAAGGAAAAGUUCCGGAUCACGAAGCUACAACGGAUGAAUUGCGGAUGUUGCAAAACAAUGCUCAAGCUUGUGACAUUCUAUUCAAUGCUUUGUGUCCCGAGGAGUUCAACAAAAUCAGCCGUCUUGAGAAUGCAAAAGAGAUUUGGGAUACUUUGGUUGAAAUGCACGAAGGUACCGAGUCCGUGAAGGAAUCAAAGCUAGAUAUUCUUCAAGGUCAACUUGACAAGUUCAAGAUGAAGGAUGGUGAAGGAGUCGCUGAAAUGUACUCUAGGCUUGCGCUCAUCACAAAUGAGAUUGCCAGCUUAGGAAGCGAAGAAAUGACCGACCGAUUCAUCAUCAAAAAGAUUCUCAGAGCUUUGGAUGGAAAGUAUGACACCAUGUGCACUUUGAUCCAAAUGAUGCCAAACUACAAGAAUCUCAAGCCAACCGAAGUCAUUGGAAGAAUUGUAGCUCAUGAAACAACUCAAGAAGAUCAUAGAGAGCUCCUAAGAUCUCAUGAGAAGCUACGCUUCGAGAAGCUCAAUCUAGAGCAAGAACAUGAGUUCCUAAAAGCAAUCAAUGACGAUCUUCGAAAGAAGAGUUCUUCAUAUCUUGCCAACCGACUUCUCUUGUCUAAUUUCUUGCCACCUAUUAAAACUAAGCAUGACAAGCAUAAGAAAAAUUCUUCAUCUAGAAGCAACAAUAUUGGUUCUAGUAGUUCUCUUGAUUCCACUAACAAUGUUUCAAGCCAAGUUACACUUGAGCAAGAAAAUAGUUUAUUGAAAGGGAUUAUAGAGAAAGGUGUCUACAAAAGCCUUGCCGGAAGCAAGAACUUUGAGGAAAUUAUUCGCAAGCAAAGGAGGCACCGGAUGAAUCAAGGAAUUGGUUUUGAGCGAAAGUUCAACGCCGAGGGUGUUGAAUGGGAAGAAGGUCAAUAUACCACUCCAAAGUUUGUUUCUCAAAAGGAGAAGUACGAUCCUACUUCUUCCAAUGUGGAACAAGCUCAAGAUGAUCUUCCACCACAAGACCACAAGCUAAAAGACAAGGACAAGCUUCAAGAGGAGAAUGAUGCAUUUAUUGAAGCACCUAAAGCCAUGGUCAAGUGGGUUCCCAAGGAAACGUCAAGUUCUACUUCGUCAAGCUCAACUACAACCCCAAGGAUUCCCAUCAAGAUGAUGUGGAUCCCGAAGAAGAAGAACUAGAGAGUUCUUGAGGGUGACUCCGCCAACAUACUUCACUCAUAUUCAUCUUGGCAAGAACUUGUGCAAUCAACUUCCACAUCUUGCACUAGUUCAUGGAGUCACAAACCCUCUUGUUGGUAAGUCAAGGGACAAGGUAAUCAUAGCUCUCAUGGACAUCAUCCAUUGUGUACUUCAUUCUAUGUCCAUGGAUAUCCUUGUUUGUUCCUUGUGGGACUAACCCAUGUAGGUAUUGAAAGUGCCCGAAUCCAAAGGCUUGCUCCCAACUCUUGAUGAUCUUCAUCAACAUUGAGCAUCCACAUCUUCAACAUCUACAUGAAGUCUUCUACGCAACCCAAGGUUAGUUUGACCCUUUAAAAGGGGUUCUCACAUCUAGGGGGAGCUUUGCUCUAAAGAAUUGAGCUAAAGCAUCUUCAAAUGAUGUGAACACAUCAAUGCUUUAUGUAAAAGUGGUAACCCCACUUGUGCUUAAACGAUGAGUAUGACCUAUGAUCAAAUGUUCUCAUUUGACUCCUAAGUCAAUAUACUCAUAUAUAGAUGACCUAGUCAUCGACAAAUUGUGUGAUAGUAGCUAGAGUUUUGAUUGUGCAUGUUUGACACAUAUUUCAUUUGCUAUCUUAUUGUGUGAGCAUGUUGGAUGCAUGAUUUAAUCCAUUCGAGGACAUCCAUUUGUUGCUUUGGUCUUUUUGAUUUUUUUUCUGACCAAAUGGAUGGACAAGAAUGCCUAAGUACCUCCCCUAGCUAUCUAUGCUUUCUUGUCUCAAAUUCUAUUCAUGCUUACAUCACAAACUUUGAACAAGUCAUUUUCGGACCCUCCGAGUGAGGAGCACUCGGAGCCACCGAUCCGUCAAGGGCUAACUUCCAAAACCUUCUAAGUGAUUUCGGUCAAACCAACCCACUCAAACUCGGUCAAACCGAAAGCAUUUGGAUUGAUCUAGGUUUUCACCUCGGUGAAACCGAGUUGUGAAUUUCGGCGUGACCGAAGUGCAUAACUGCCCUGCAGUUAUCCAUCUCGGUGCCACCGAGUUUUACAACUCGGUCCCACCGACAGCAAAGGGGUAUAUAUACUCCGAGGGCCGCGCGUUGAUUUCUACUUCAAAACGCUUCGCCCCCACACCCCUUGCUGCCGUCGCCUGGUCUCCGGAUCGUCUCCGUCGUCGCCUGUGCGCCCUCGCCGCAGGUCUCCGUCGCCGUCAACAGACAUCUUCUCCGCGCCGUUGCCGCCGUAGAGGAACUCCACCAAGUUAGGGUGAGUUUCGAUCCCACUCGUGCUCUCAUCUCCGAUUCAAUGCACGUUUGGUUUGCCUGUAAUCUUUCCACGAUUGAAAUCUUCCUGAACACAAGAUUAGUUCCUUUGAACGAAAUUCGAGUAAAAGUUUUAGGGUUAGGUUUCCGCCGAACACAUCUCGGUGAGACCGAUUUUACAUUCUCGGUAUGACCGAUUUGGCCUCUGGCCAUUGCACUGCACCUUUCGGUCCAACCGAGUUGUGCAAAUCAGUGUGACCGAAAUGAGGAUUUAGUGAAACCCUAGUGUUUUCGGCAGGACCGAAACCCACUUCGGUCCAACCGAAAGUGGUGUGAAUGCUUCUGUUUGAACACUUCGGAUUCACCGAAUUUUAAACUCGGACUAACCGAAAUGUCUUCUGUGAAAACCUAAUACUAGAAUUUGAACUCAUUCUGUUUGCAAAAUCUUCUGCAGUUUGUGAUAACUCUUCUACUCUGCCUACACCUUAUCUAUUCACAGGUUGUCAGCCAUGUCAGAUGCCAGUGACAGCCAGAACAGGUCUGAGUCACCUAUUGCUGAUAUUCCAGAGGCAGGCACUAGUCCUGAACCCAGCAGCUCAUCAGAUGAUGGUGAGAGGAGCACACCAAGUGGUUUGCCCCCUGCAGCCACCAGGGCCAGAAAGAAGAGGAACUCUGAUGAAGAAGAUUCUGAUUUCAUUGUUGAGGAAGAGGUCUCCUCCAAGCCAAAGAGAAAGGUUGUUGCCAAAGAGCCUCAAGGGCAGCAAACCAAGAAAGGCACCAGAAAAGUGAAGCAGUCCACUGUUGCCAAAAAGCUGAGUAUGGAAGAGGAAACUACAAGCAAGGUGAAGAAAACUUCCAAGAGGAAGAGGAUUGUGCAUGAUGAUGCAGCAGAAGAGGAUGAGGAUGAGGAAGCACCCCAGCCUCCUCAGAAGCCUAAGCUCAUGGGUGAUGCCAUCAGGGCUGGAGCCACUUCAAAGUCCAAGCCAUCUACUCCAGUCAAGGCAGCUCCAGCAAAGCCUGCUGCCAAGCCCAAGAAGACCGUCAGAAACAUUCUAGCGUCUGAAAAGAACAAGGAUGAUGUGCCACCAGCUGUGUCAGAUGAUGAGGCACCAGUUUUGCUGAAACUUCGUCCAAAACUGCCACUUCACAAUGAUGCUCAUCCUCAAGCUGAAAACAUGAAGGAAAGGAAGGAUAGAGGUCUCAGGCUAUGGAGACAAGCUGAUCCAUAUGCUGUGAGGAGAAGAACUGCUGUUGAUCCCAGAUUUCACACCAGAGAGCAGCAGGACUUCUAUGAGACUGUGCUGAUGGACAAGAAGCCCAUAGUGGCAGACACCAGAUUUGUUGAUUGGAAAUACAUUGACAGUGAAGAGCACAGAGACUUCUUUCCACAUGUGCAUGAGAGCUUCACUGCAUGUGGUGUUGCAGACUUCGUAGGUCAAAAGCUGACAAGUUGGAAUGAUGAAAUGAUUAUGCAAUUCUAUGCCACGGCUCAUUUCUAUCCAGAUGAAAAGAUCACAUGGAUGACUGAAGGCCAAAGAUUCUCUUCAACUGUAGAAGAAUGGGCAGAACUGCUGAAUGCUCCAGUGUAGAGAGAGGAUGAUGUUGAUGUCUAUGGCAUUCCCAAGAAGAACCAUGAAUCUAUGAAGAAUAUGUACAAGGAGGUUCCAGCUAAGGAUUUAGCAAUCUGGAAGCUUGGCUCAGUGUAUUAUCUCCAGGCAGGUCUACCUACCACAAACACUAUUCUGAGGCAUACCUUGAUGCCCAAGUCUGGAGAUCAUCGCAUGAUCAGAGGGUACUCUAUCAACAUGCUGCAUAUACUUGAUGAGAAGUCACCGUUCAAGGUGAUGGACUUGAUAGUUGAGACUAUUAAGAGGACUACAGCUGACCAGAAAAGGUCGUGUGGAUUUGCCCCGCAUAUUCAGAUGCUUAUCAAUGCCAAGUUUGGCACGGGCACAUUCUUGUUGGAUAGAGAACACCUACCACUGCAGCCUGAGCAUGAGGACAAUGAUGUUGUGAUGGAUGAGGAGGAUCCAACUUCUGUUGAAGGUCAAGCAAAGAUUGAAGCUGCCAAGAAAGCCAAAGCUGAGAAGGAAGCAGCAGCAGCAGCAGCUAAACCAAAGAGUGUUGGAGAGCAGCUCCUUGAAGCUACCCAAAGGAUUGAACAACGCCUGGCCAGCAUUGUACAGUCUCAGGAGAGCCUUGAGAGGAUUGUUGAAGACAAGAUCCAUGCUCUGGAUGUGAAGCUGACUGAAGUGCAAGUAACUGUCAACAAGCUUGAGGCAGAUAUCGAGGAAGCAAAGAGGGAGAAGGAAGAGCUCAUGCAUGAGAUGCAGGAUGACCUAGUCCAGGAUGCUUAUGAACAGACUGCUCCGGUUCCCACAGGACCCCGAUCAGCUGCUAUUCCAGUGACAGACACCAGGACUACAGCCUCAGCACCUCCCACAGCUCCAUCAGUUGCUCCAGCUCCAGCUCCAGUGACCACUCCUCCAGCUCCACAGACAUCAGCAGAAGUCUUCGCCGAUGCAGCCAUCUCAACUCCAAUAUCAACCCAGACAGGAGCCGCCAGCAGAGUCCCUAGUGACGUUUAGCUCUAUACUUUUCGAACUUUUUGGUAACUUGUUGCCAAAGGGGGAGAAAUUGUAUAGAUCAUAGGACUUCGAGAGAGAGAGUGCUGUUGUUUUUUUUGCGCUUUUGCUCUUUCGUUCUUUUGCGGUCUUUUUGAGAUUCUUUUGGUUUUCAUGACAUUCUGUGUGUUUGAUACUACGUUUGAUGAGUGCUUCGUCGUACUAUGCCUUAAUGUGUGCUUAAUGCUUAUCAUAUGCUAUUCCUAUCUUGUAUGACCAUUUACUCAUGUCUUGGUGAUUGGGUGCAUGCUAUUCAUUCUUAUCAUUUUGUGCGCUCCACCAAGAUGUAUGUGACAUGGAAGAGUGACCCAUGAUCCUAAUCGAUUGUGCAUUUGCAUUCAAACGCAAAUCUUAAAUAAUGCACAAAUUUAGGGGGAGCUCUUGCUUAUCACAUACUUCUCAAAGCGACGAUAUUAUUCAUUGAUUAUAUCCUUUGUCGAAGCUUUGAUCUAUAUGUUGUCAUCAAUUACCAAAAAGGGGGAGAUUGAAAGUGCAACUAAUCCCCGGGUGGUUUUGGUAAUUAAUAACAACAUAUAUAUCAAUGAACUAAUAGUUUCUUGAGAAUCAUUUCAGAAAGUUCAGUGAUAUGGGUAUGGCAAGGACUGAAGAAGUGGACCCCUCAAAAUGCUAAGGCAAGCAUUGGCAAAAGCUCAAGACUCCAUUUUUGGUUUAGUGAUCCAAGAUCACAUUGAGUCUAUAGGAAAGCCAAUACUAUUAAAAGGGGAUGAGGUUAUGAUAAUGAUCUGGUUGCUCAAAGUGCUUAGUGAUAUAUCUCCUAAACUAUCAGCAACUCUCACUUCCAUAAUACACUCAUAAGUAAUCUCGGUCCCACCGAUUUUCCAAACCCAGUCACACCGAGAUGAACCACCUCAGCCAUAUAGCCAAACCCUAGAAUUCUCGGAUUUUCUGAUUCUGAACUCGGUCUCACCGAAACUUGAGUUGCCAAGCUUCUGUAACCUUCUGUCAUCAAAUCGGUGUCACCGAGAUGAUGAAGUCGGUCCCACCGAGAUUGGCAAGCUCUUGUCUUUGGACGAAUCGGACUCACCGAGUUUGUAUUUUCGGUCCCACCGAAAAUCCCAACGUUCACAUGAUUUGAACUUUCGGUCUCACCGAGUUGUCAACUUCGGUCUGACCGAGAUUGGUCAAAUGUGUGUAACGGUUGGAUUUUGUGUGGAGGCUAUAAAUACCCCUCCACCCCCUCUUCAUUCGUGGAGAGAGCCAUCAGAAAGAACUACCACUCCUACCUUACAUUUCUGAGAAGAGAACUACCUACCCUUGUGUUGAGAUCAAGUAGCUCCACUCCCACCAUAUGAAACUUGAUCUCUAGCCUUCCCAAGUUGCUUUCCACUCAAUCCUUUCUUCCACCACAGCCAAAUCAGUGAGGAGAGUUGAGUGUUGGGGAGAUUAUCAUUUGAAGCACAAGAGCAAGGAGUUCAUCAUCAUCAACACCAUCUAUUACCUUUUGGAGGGUGGUGCCUCCUAGAUUGGUUAGGUGUCGCUUGGGAGCCUCCGUCGAGAUGUGGAGUUGAACCAAGAAGUUUGUAAGGGCAAGGAGAUCGCCUACUUCGUGAAGAUCUACCCCGAGUAAGGCUAGCCCUCCGUGGGCGUAGGCCAUGAUGGCAUAGACAAGGUUGCUUCUUCGUGGACCCUUCGUGGGUGGAGCCCUCCGUGGACUCUCGCAGCCGUUACCCUCCGUGGGUUGAAGUCUCCAUCAACGUGGAUUGACGAUAGCACCACCUAUCGGAACCACGAGAAAAAAUCUCCGUGUCUCCAAAUUGCGUUUGCUCUUCUCCACCUCUCUUUACUACAUGUGCAAUUUACUUUCCGCUGCCUAUACUCUAGAAUUGCAUGUGUAGGGUGAUACUUGACUUGAUCAUCAUUGUGAACUUGCCAAAAACUUGUCUUUAUCAAAAGGCUGAAUUUUUAUAUUGUCAAGUAGUCUAAUCACCCCCCUCUAGACAUACUUUCGAUCCUACAA
RNAcentral lists this long non-coding RNA (8754 nucleotides) under Triticum aestivum (bread wheat). RNAcentral describes it as "long non-coding RNA (TAES_LNC025243)". Lineage: Eukaryota; Viridiplantae; Streptophyta; Magnoliopsida; Poales; Poaceae. The record is from RNAcentral.